CCUACGGGUGGCUGCAGUAGGGAAUAUUGCUCAAUGGGGGAAACCCUGAAGCAGCAACGCCGCGUGGAGGAUGAAGGUUUUCGGAUUGUAAACUCCUUUUGUUAGAGAAGAUAAUGACGGUAUCUAACGAAUAAGCACCGGCUAACUCCGUGCCAGCAGCCGCGGCAAUACGGGGGGUGCAAGCGUUACUCGGAAUAACUGGGCGUAAAGAGCGCGUAGGCGGGAGAGCAAGUCAGAUGUGAAAUCCUAUGGCUUAACCCUAGAACUGCAUUUGAAACUGUUAUUCUAGAGUAUUGGAGAGGUAGUUGGAAUUCUUGGUGUAGUGGUGAAAUGCGUAGAGAUCAAGAGGAAUACUCAUUGCGAAGGCGAACUGCUAGAACAUAACUGACGCUGAUGCGCGAAAGCGUGGGGAGCAAACAGGAUUAGAUACCCUUGUAGUC
This 440-nucleotide ribosomal RNA is filed under the name uncultured bacterium. RNAcentral describes it as "partial 16S ribosomal RNA". It matches the Rfam family "Bacterial small subunit ribosomal RNA", at positions 338 to 795 of the family's 1533-position model. The record is from RNAcentral.